UUUUUUUUUUUUUUUUUUUUUCAGAGUAUUUUCUUUCUUGUCCAGAUUAGCUAAAUUGGAUUGUUCUAUGCUAAAUUCACUUAAUCACUACUCUAUUAUUUUUGAAUUUUUUAGUUCUGUUUUUUUCACUUGGUUCUUUUUUUAAAAAAACUUCUACUACCUUUCUGAGACUUCUACUUUUUUACUUUUUUCAAGAAGCUUUAUAAUUACUUGCUAAAGCAUUUUUACCAUGACUGUUUUUAACUUCUUCAGAUAACCACAACAUUUGGUUAAUCUUGAGGUUGGCUUGGUUAACUGUCUUUUCUCAUCCUGCUUAUGAUUUUCCUUCUAAUUGUGAUUUUUCCGGUUCUUGAUAGAUGGGUGAUGUUUUAGUUUAUCCUGCAUUUUUUUUUCCUUUUUAAGUUAGAGGAAUCUGAAUCUAUUCAAAUGUUUUAUUUUAGCAGGCAUGUGCCCUGUUUAGGUUUAAUUUGAAUGUCCUGUCCUACUUUUGUAGGCCAUGUUUUCGCAGGCAGUCUUGCUAUCAGAGCUGAGGGGAUGCUGUUUUGAUCACUUAGUUUAUCUGAUGUUGCUGGGCCUCCAACUGGUGCUGACUGGUACUUCCUGAGAUGGCGAAGGUUUUUCUGUACUCUGAGAUGCCGUGUAUCUCUAUGUAAGGGGAGGAGACUCUGGACCACAGGAAUGAAGAGAACAUCUUAGGUCAGGCAGCUCAAUCAUAUGCGAUAACCUGGGUCAACCAGCCAGUAGCCUCAUGAAGUAUGGGAGGGAAUUCUCCAGUGUCAGCAUUCAAAGACAUCAUGAGUUUUUACUUCUCAUUUUCUUUUAAGUGAAAUAAUCGCAUGGAAAUUAAAGAAUAAAUAUAUGAAAUAUAUGAAACUUAUAUGAAAUAUAAGAAUGUGAGAAGGCCUACAGCGUGGGGAUCCCCAGGCUAUUUGAACAAUGAAUGUCUGUGUUACACAUCUUUGCUCACUUUUUCUCUAUUUUUGUAGUUCAUUGUGGAACCAGCACAGAUUUUCAUACGAAAGUUAUUUCUUUUUAACCUCAAAAAGUGACAGAAUGGAGUGUAUCAUGAAAAAGUCUGACAUCAAAACCUCAAAAUGUGAUAUUGAUUGGGUGAGAUAGAAUUCCAUGGAAUUUCAUUGCCAAACCAGUGAAGUGCUAAUUUUGACAUUUGUACCAGCUAACGUAGCUGUGAAGAAACACACCAAUACACUUCUAAGGACAGCAUAGACCAAGAUCUAGGUUUCAUAUGGAUGAAUUUAUUCUUCCCUUUGAGGCAAGACAAGAAGGAAAGAAAGUAUUGGGAAUAAUGCUGCCCUCCCAUCCUCAAGGGCCAGUGGGAACUCUAAUAUUGGUAAGCCUUUUGUCCUGAAAAUACCAGCAUUUCCUCUUAGGGAAUCAUAACACUCUGCUAACCGUGAGACUCUGGCUAUGCUAGUCCGCCAUGGGCUGGUCAUUGACUGUGAUCCUGGUCUCCAUGAUUGAAUAGUGUGGGUCAGUGUGUCCCAGAGUGACAGAUGUGCUCAGUGUCUGCCACAUAUCUCAGACUCAAGGUCCCUUUUAUAAAUGUGCCUGGAUCGAUGAUGACUAUAAAAAAAAUGGAUCUCAUCGGAAUCUGAACAAAAUGAGUGACCAAAUCAUUUCUGUGCCACUUCUGUGAGCUGAGGUCCAGCACUGGGACCAUGCCAGGCAAACAUGAGGAGGGAGUUUACAGGGACUAGGGUAUUGGAAAACUAACCUACCCAUAUAUAUUAGAGCAAAUGAAUUGUUCUCAGUUCUGUAAAUAUCCAGCUGUGGUUUGACAUAGCAACUCUCUUUGUAUUUGCUUGGCAGCAUUUAUAGAAACAGCUGGUAGACCCUGGGGAACCAGGGCAUAGUGAGAUUCAUGGGACGUUAUUUCACCUACUCUUGAGCCAUUCACACAUUUGAGCUCGCAGAAUUAUCUGGUCAAUGAGCAGUCUCUUGAGGGUAAUGAGAUGGUCAACAUCCAAAUCCAAAGAUACUAAUGAGAUUUUACUUUUUUUUUUGAGAUGGAGUCUCAUUCUGUUGCCCAGGCUGGAGUGCAGUGGCAUAAUCUCGGCUCACUGCAACCUCCACCUCCUGGGUUCAAGAGAUUCUCCCGCCCCAGCAUCCUGAGUAGCUGGGAUUACAGGCGCCCGCCACCACCCCUGGCUAAUUUUUGUGUUUGUAGUAGAGAUGGAGUUUCACCAUAUUGGCCAAGCUGGUCUCGAACUCCCAACCUCAGGUGAUCCAGCCACUGCAGCCUCUCAAAGUGUUGGGAUUACAGGCAUGAGCCGCCGUGCCCGGCCUUACUUUUUAUUUUCAAUUAAGUGAAACAAUUACAUGGAAAUUGAAAAAAAAAAAAGAUUGGGUGAGAUACAAUUCCAUGGAAUUUUACCACUGAACCAGUGGAGGGCUAAUUUUGUCAUUUGUACCAGUUAACUAACUUGGGAGGAAACAGAACAACACACUCCUGAGAUUGGUUUUCACAGAAUUCCAUGGACUUUAACUGCUGAACCAAUGAUGCACUGAUUUUGUCACUUGUACCAGCUAACGCAUCUGGGAGGCAACAAAACAAUACUCUCCUGAGGUUAAUGUGGACCAAAAACUAGAUUUCAUAUAAAAGAGUUUAUUCCUUCUACUUGAGGUGUGACAUGAAGGAAAGUAAUGGAAAUAAUUCUGCCCUCCCAUUCUCAAGGGCCAGGGGGAAUUCAAAUAUUGAACGGAAGUGAUUUUGGAAUUGCAUGGAAUUCUCACUGCCAUCCCAAAGAAAUGCUGAUCUUGUCACUCUUACCUGUUUCAUUCCCUGGGGGCAGAACAAAAGGACGCACUCCAAAGAUCGGCAUGAACCAAGAACUGGGUUUCAUAUAAAAUAUUUUAUUCUGUCCUCUUGAGAUGUGACAUGAGAAAAGUAUUGAGAAUACUUCUAUCACCUCAUCUUCAAGAAUCCGUAGGAAUUCUCCCAUGGUGGACUUUACGGUUAACCUGAACAGGUCUUGGAAAAAGGACUUUAAACAUUCUCCUGUUCUGUGGAAUAAGUAUACUUUUUUCUGGACAUACACCUUGUCAGUGAGUUCCAUGUGAUACUAGAGUUGCAUAGAUUUUUAACCUUUACGCCAAUGAAGAUCUGAGGCAAACAUUGCCCCUUUUUUAGAAGUUUGCAUUUGUCACUGAUAACUGUAAUAAUUGAUCUUGUUGAAAAGCCUGGGAAAUGAAGAUCUGAUAUGUCACUUUUACCGGCUUCCUCAACUGAAAAAGAAUACAAUGAAACACGCUGAGAAUUUUUGUGCUUUCUCAGUCUUGCUGAUGAUCUUUCUAUGGGCCUGAAGCGUGGAGAGUGCCAGAGAGGCUGAUCCUCAGCAGUGUGGCAGAGGAAAGUUGGGUGCGACUAAGGGGUAUGCGGUGCCCACAUGCCACUGGGUCCUCAGCAGUACCACCUGAUUGGAAGUGAUAUUGGUGGAAGACAACAUUUUGCCGCUUGGAAUUCUCACCUCCACACCAAAGAAGUACUGUUUUUGUCAUUUGCACCAGCUUCUUUCUCCAGGAAAGAUCAAAACGAUGCACUGCAAGUGUGAUUGGUCCAGAUAGCUGCCUUAUCCAACUGCCUCCUUUGGACCACUUCAUCAUGGGACAGCUUGAUGCAAUCUACUUGACAAGACCCUGGAACCCCACACCCCUCAUGGAACCAGUGUCCACCUCCCAGUCACAGUGUGACCCCAGGGAACUCUUGCCUGCUUGCUUUAAACCCACCACUUAAAAGUCUCCACAGAAAACCUGUUUGAAUAGUACCCUUGACCCAAUAAGGGCAUUGGCCCCUGGGUGUCUCUCUCUCUCUCUCUCUCUCUCUCUCCCUCUCUCUCCCUCUCUCUCUCUCGCUCCCUGACCUCUGCGUGUGGACUCCAGGCAUGCCAUAUACCCCUCAGGACCUGAAGCAAAAGAAUGAAUUAAAGAAAACUCCAGAGAAUGAGCUGACAACCUACUCCCUGGUCAGUGGCUCUCCAUGCCUACCUGUGGUCUCUUGGACACCCUUGCAGAAGAUGACUUCCUGGGAACUCUUCUGGGAGUGAAUGUUAUCAGCAAAUUCCCAAAACAACACCCCUUAGACAAAAAGCCUCCUCACCUAUGCAUUGCCUAGACCACCCACUAAAGGUGAUGGCCACAAAGAGGUGGAUUUGUUGAGUUGGUGCCAUUCCUUCUACUGCCAGCUUCACCAAAACAAUGACACAGUCUUCCUUCCGCAUGGAGACUCUUCUCUUUCCUGUGUUGCAGUGGAUGCCUCCUGCAGAUAAGAAAUGCUUAACUGAGAAAUGCUCAUGUUGGGAUAUCAUCGAUGAGACUUUAAUUUGGGCAUGGUGACUGUUUCCCUUGCUGCCACUUGACUCAAUCCCAGGAGCCUCAGUAGAGGAUAUAAUAUUACACAAGAUGCUCAAAAUGGUGGAAUUGCUCAGUGCUCCCAUAAAUAUACAUUUAUAAUUUUCAUUUGCCACAUGGUAAACUGAAAAAUACAGACUAUAUUAAAAAGAAACUGCAUGAUUUUUUUUCAAAAAUUCAAAGCAUAUUUAAAUAAUAUAUAAAUUAAAUGCCCUCCUCUCUUCCAAUUCUGUCCCUAUAGUUUUCCUCUAUUAAGUGAACUACAUGCAUUCUUUUAGUGGAUAGAUGCACACAAACACACAAGCCAUUAUGGGGAAGGAUCCACGUGUGUGGCCAUAUUGUAACACAUUUUUCUGCAAAUCACCUCUUUCAUUUAACAGCCCUUAUUCAAUGGCCUUUUUCUUUUUCAGUAGUACAUACACAUCUGUGUCAUUUGUUGAAUGACGACAUGAAUGUUUUGUAGAUAAAAUAUAAUUAAAUGUUUUAAGCAUUUCUCACUCAUAGAUAUUUAUGUUAGCACCAAAUUUCUGUGCAAUGAACCUCCCUAUAUAUCAGUAAUUUUGCAUUUGUCUAUAAUAUCAUAAUAAAUUACUUAUCAGUUGAAUUACUGGGAUUAAGUAUGUGCACACUUUAUAUUUAUAUUUUGAAAAUUAUUGCAAGAUUGCCUUCAAAAAUGUGGUUAACAACUUUAUCUUCAAAUGGCAAUGAAUGAGAUUGCCAGCUUUCCUACAGCCUCACAGACAAUGGAUUUUAUAAAUAUUUAACAUUUUUGCCAAUGUGAUCACCCAAACUAUUGUCUUAAAUUGUAUCUCUUUUGUUUUUGAGUUUGGUCAUUUUUUCAUGUUUAUUAGCCAUCUGUAUUUUUUAAUUUCUUCUUUAUGUCCAAUUUUGUGGGUGGGAGGAGGAUUUAGUCUCUUCCUGAUUUCGAAGAGCUCAUUUACUAUUUCGGGAAAUAAGAUUUGGAUUGUCAACCAUUAUAGCUAUUUUUUACACACUUUUCAACUUUGUUUUUGUUAUAAGAAUGUGUAUGAUUGUUACAUGUCCAAGUAUAACCAUGUUCGCUUUUAUGGCUUCUGAGUUUCAUGUCAUUUUUGGAAAGAUAUAUAUAUUGAGUCCAUAAAACCCUUCACCUAUGUUAAAUUCUAAUUCUUUUGUGUUUUUUUAAUUCAAAUUCUUAAAUCAUGAGAAAUUUUUUUGUUUUGAAAUCUUAAAGUUGCCAAGUUACUUGCCAUUACUUGCGAUUAUUUGCCAAUAAUUGCCCAUUUAUCUGUACCGCCAUCUUGCGCAUAUGCUGUACUCUCAUCUGUGACUGGCUCCAUUUUUGUUCUGUGGAUUUGUGUGUCUCUUCUUCUGCCUCCUGUCUCGUGUCUGCUCGUUGGAAGAAAUUACAGUUUAGACUGCAAUUUCAUCAACUUUAAUAAAUCAAUUGAGGGGAGAAUUGGUUUUUAAAAAUAUUAAGUAAGUCUUCGUAUCCAAGGACAAGGUAUGUCUUUUCUUAUUCAAUAAUUUUAAUUACUGUUAAUAUUUUCACUGUGGUGAUGGGAGUUUUUCUUUUAAUUUAUUUUCUUGUUCAUUUUUUGUAUCUAAAGUUUUUGUUUUGUUUUGUUUUGGGGGUAAGUUGUCACCUUACUGUUUCUUGUUGCUUUUCAGAUUUUUUCAAAGUAUAGACUAAAUCCUUCACAAAUAUUUAAAGUUUUUAUUUUCCCCCUUCAUAUUGAUCCUGAUUUUAGUUAUGUUGACAAAGUCCACAGACUGUUACUAUCAGAACACUUGAACAGUUAUGGAAAUAUUACCUACCCUUGAUUUAAUCAGAGUUUAAUGGUAUGCUUCUUUGGUUUGACUGGCACAUUGUCGCUGGUCAUUUCCUCCCAAAGACCACCAGAAAGAGCUAUGAUCAAGCAAAGCUGAGUUUGUUAAACUUACCUGCAGCAAGGGAAAACACCACCUUGAUAGGGUUUAAUAAUGUUUCAAAAUCAAGAAAUGAGGCUUUGGGGUCUGGGCAGGGAACUAAUUAGAAAUGGGCAAAAUUUGUCAUGCAAUACCUUGUGGGAAAGUGAGAUGAGGUUCUUAAUGUGAGUAUUGAUGGUGAAAUCAUUUUCUAGGUGAGCUGUUUGCCUAUAUAAAGAUGUUAUCAAUGACAGAAGAACUAUUUGCCUAGAUAAACAAACUGAAUUUAUUUAUUGGUUUACAGUUUUAUCUUGCUGGGCAGGACUCUGCUGGGGGUGGUAUCAGGUCUUAUUCCCAAUAGGUAAGUUAUUUGGAUAUGGGUGGUCUUAAUCAUCAAUGUGUAAAAUGCUGAUUUUAAGUGCGAAAUACUUUGUCUACCAUGUUAGGAAAGUCUGCCACCUUUUAUCUUUUUUAAGGAAUUUUAAUCAAAACCAGGUGGUAGAUAUAAUCAAAUUGUUUUGCAGAAUCAAUUUUCCUGUUCUCUUUAAAGACUUUUAUCACUGUGAAUUAAUUUACUAUUAUUGCAACUUCCUUUAAUUCCUUGAAUGAACAGACCCUACUGGUUUUAAAAAUGUUUUAUUCUUUUAAUUUACUACUUAAUUGUGGGUAUUUUAAUUUGAUUUGGAAUUUUUACAAGUAUACAACUAAGUGAAAUUGAUCUGUGAUUUUUCUUUUUUGUGCUAUUUUUGUCAUGUUUUGAUAUCAGAUAUUCUGGUUGUGUUAAAAUAAUUUUGAGGAUUUUCUUCUUAUACUGUGUUCUAGAGUGGGUAAAAAAGCCCUAGUCUCACUAUCAGUGUUUAAGUGAACACAUCAGUGACAUCAUCUGGACUCUCCUUUGUUUUUGCUGGUUUGGAGUUAGGACAUCUAGAAGUUUUUUUCUUUUUUUCCUUUUUUUGUAUGGUUAUUGCUUGUUCUUUGUUUUGUGUCAAAUUUAACCUGUUUUCUCUUAGCAAAUCACAGCUCAUGCAGAUUUUCAAACACAUUAGCCUUGUUAUACAAAGUGUUCUUUCAUCAUUCUAUUAAAUUUCCAUUUUCAUUCCAGUUAUAGUUAUUUCUGCUGUGCCUUUGUUAAUGAAUAAGUUUAAACAGUGGAUGUUUAGCAUCACUAGCCUUCCCCUUCCAUCUCCCUUAAUCAGGACCUUGGUAUAAUUUAUCAGGUAUUUUUUAAGGUUCUAAUUUACUUAUAUAUAUUGUUUCUGUAUUCUUUUGUUUCUUUUCUUAAUAAAUUCUUAAA
RNAcentral lists this long non-coding RNA (7549 nucleotides) under Homo sapiens (human). RNAcentral describes it as "small nucleolar RNA host gene 14". The stretch from base 1572 to 1667 matches the Rfam family "Small nucleolar RNA SNORD116". The record is from RNAcentral. Lineage: Eukaryota; Metazoa; Chordata; Mammalia; Primates; Hominidae.